RNAcentral lists this transfer RNA (70 nucleotides) under Streptomyces ipomoeae. RNAcentral describes it as "tRNA-Arg". RNAcentral also lists the same sequence under 1 other name. The record is from RNAcentral. Lineage: Bacteria; Bacillati; Actinomycetota; Actinomycetes; Kitasatosporales; Streptomycetaceae.
GCCGCCGGGCCGGGCUUGGACCGAACUCCUAAAGCGGGUGUCGCAGGUUCGAAUCCUGCCGGGGGCACCA